GUUAAACCGGAGGAAGGGUGGGGAUGACGUCAAGUCCUCAUGGCCUUUAUGACCAGGGCUACACACGUACUACAAUGGCCGAUAACGAAAGGGCAGCGACACUGCGAGGUGAAGCCAACUACCCGUAAAAUCGGUCUCAGUCCGGAUUGGAGUCUGCAACUCCGACCCCAUGAAGUUGGAAUCGCUAGUAAUCGUGGAUCAGCAUGCCACGGUGAAUACGUUCCCGGGCCUU
Molecule: ribosomal RNA, 232 nt
Filed under: uncultured Desulfobulbus sp.
Lineage: Bacteria; Pseudomonadati; Thermodesulfobacteriota; Desulfobulbia; Desulfobulbales; Desulfobulbaceae
Description: partial 16S ribosomal RNA
Rfam family: Bacterial small subunit ribosomal RNA
Source: RNAcentral